Molecule: microRNA precursor, 154 nt
Filed under: Amborella trichopoda
Lineage: Eukaryota; Viridiplantae; Streptophyta; Magnoliopsida; Amborellales; Amborellaceae
Description: MIR8565 microRNA precursor family
Rfam family: MIR8565 microRNA precursor family
Source: Rfam by way of RNAcentral
CCCACACACAUGUGUGUAAGACCUCAAAUGAUCACCAUUAAAUUUGAUACAGACAUCUAGAAAAGUUAUCAUAUGGAUAUGGGACUUGACUUUUUUAGAGAUCUAUGUCAAAUUUAAUGGUGAUCCUUUAGGGUCUUACAUACAUGUGUGUGGG